GGGGAAAAACGGGGGUGCCAAUACAUGCAAGUCGAGCGAAUUGGAUUAAGAGCUUGCUCUUAUGAAGUUAGCGGCGGACGGGUGAGUAACACGUGGGUAACCUGCCCAUAAGACUGGGAUAACUCCGGGAAACCGGGGCUAAUACCGGAUAACAUUUUGAACCGCAUGGUUCGAAAUUGAAAGGCGGCUUCGGCUGUCACUUAUGGAUGGACCCGCGUCGCAUUAGCUAGUUGGUGAGGUAACGGCUCACCAAGGCAACGAUGCGUAGCCGACCUGAGAGGGUGAUCGGCCACACUGGGACUGAGACACGGCCCAGACUCCUACGGGAGGCAGCAGUAGGGAAUCUUCCGCAAUGGACGAAAGUCUGACGGAGCAACGCCGCGUGAGUGAUGAAGGCUUUCGGGUCGUAAAACUCUGUUGUUAGGGAAGAACAAGUGCUAGUUGAAUAAGCUGGCACCUUGACGGUACCUAACCAGAAAGCCACGGCUAACUACGUGCCAGCAGCCGCGGUAAUACGUAGGUGGCAAGCGUUAUCCGGAAUUAUUGGGCGUAAAGCGCGCGCAGGUGGUUUCUUAAGUCUGAUGUGAAAGCCCACGGCUCAACCGUGGAGGGUCAUUGGAAACUGGGAGACUUGAGUGCAGAAGAGGAAAGUGGAAUUCCAUGUGUAGCGGUGAAAUGCGUAGAGAUAUGGAGGAACACCAGUGGCGAAGGCGACUUUCUGGUCUGUAACUGACACUGAGGCGCGAAAGCGUGGGGAGCAAACAGGAUUAGAUACCUUGGUAGUCCAAAA
This 790-nucleotide ribosomal RNA is filed under the name Bacillus cereus. Its description in RNAcentral is "bacterial SSU rRNA". It matches the Rfam family "Bacterial small subunit ribosomal RNA", at positions 25 to 800 of the family's 1533-position model. Lineage: Bacteria; Bacillati; Bacillota; Bacilli; Caryophanales; Bacillaceae. The record is from RNAcentral.